This 263-nucleotide ribosomal RNA is filed under the name uncultured cyanobacterium. Its description in RNAcentral is "partial 16S ribosomal RNA". It matches the Rfam family "Bacterial small subunit ribosomal RNA", at positions 1272 to 1533 of the family's 1533-position model. The record is from RNAcentral. Lineage: Bacteria; Bacillati; Cyanobacteriota.
UCCCAUAAACCGUGGCUCAGUUCAGAUCGUAGGCUGCAACUCGCCUACGUGAAGUAGGAAUCGCUAGUAAUCGCAGGUCAGCAUACUGCGGUGAAUACGUUCCCGGGCCUUGUACACACCGCCCGUCACACCAUGGAAGUUGGCCACGCCCGAAGUCGUUACUUUAACCCUUGUGGAGAAGGACGCCGAAGGUGGGGCUGAUGACUGGGGUGAAGUCGUAACAAGGUAGCCGUACCGGAAGGUGCGGCUGGAUCACCUCCUAA